CUGCCUAGCUGGUUUGCUGGUUGUUUUCUGGUUUUUUAGUCUCCUCCUCCGCCUCCUGCAGCCGACUUCUACCGGAAUUUGCCAGGAUUUCGGCAGAAACGCCGCUGGCUCAAAAUCUGCAGUCUACGUUCCACCUGCGUACAUAUUCAUUUUGUAUCGCACUCCCAAACAGCAAACGGCGGACUUGUUUAGAUUCUUCCUUAAGGACUUCGCAGUCUGUUGCGUUCCCCCUGCCUCCCAGGUCGGCCUAAAAACGUGGUGGUUGGCCGGUUGAGACCCCGAAGAGAAAAGAUACUUUGGGUUCCCUCCCUUUCUAAUACGAAGCUUUAACCAGACAGAUACAUAAAUUGUGACCUAAGUUGGGGAGUGUGUAGAGGGGCCUCGAGAAGACCUUGCGGACCACCAUUCCCGAAAACGAGGAGCCUCAUCUAACCACCUCGAUUAGACCCCACAAUUCCUGGGUUUGAGCUGCCACAUGGACCAGGCGCCCACUAGCCGAGGACAAUGCUCCCUUGUUCGUUGUUUCAGCGCUAUGUGGGUGACACCCACAGCUAGAAGAACCCGGAGUGAGGGGAAGAACACGCUUUGAUUUAUAUAUGUGUAUAUAUAUAUAUACAGUUUUAGGGAACCCAAGCACAGGAAUCAACUGCCGAGCACUCAAGACUGAAGAAAGAAGAAGAGCAAAUGAUAAAGGAAGGGAACAGAGCACAAAAGUUCUUGACUCUUGUGGGGAGUAGGGUGGAGAGGAGUAAAAGGGACAGGCUAGAGCAACUCCUAUUUCUACAAAAAAAAUACUCAAUUAUAUUAAUAUUCAGAUCUUAUGUAUAUUUAGCAUCCCUGCACUUCAGGAUUUAAAUAGCACAAAUUCACUUAUUUCUGCAUCAGAUGAAUAAUACUACUUUGCAUUUCUAUAAUGCUUGACAAAGCACAUUCGUACACUUUAGGAUUGAAAGAGGCUCUCUAAUCCAAUCUACUAUCUAUGCAGGGAUCUCCUCUGCAACACCCAUAACAGCUGAUCUUCAAGACUCUACCCCCCCAUAUUCAAUGAUGGGUACCUCAAACAACAAGUUUUAUUUAAUGAACAACUUAUUCGUUAGUUAUUAUAUUUAAAUACAGUUUUGUGCUAUCGAAAUUCCAGUCAUUGACUUGGCUCUCUGGA
Molecule: long non-coding RNA, 1159 nt
Filed under: Homo sapiens (human)
Lineage: Eukaryota; Metazoa; Chordata; Mammalia; Primates; Hominidae
Description: non-protein coding lnc-MPZ-2:1
Source: RNAcentral